Molecule: long non-coding RNA, 250 nt
Filed under: Mytilus galloprovincialis (Mediterranean mussel)
Lineage: Eukaryota; Metazoa; Mollusca; Bivalvia; Mytilida; Mytilidae
Source: RNAcentral
CAUUGGCGUUUUUCUCUUUAAAGUCUCCUGUCAGCAUUUGUAGGAAAACUGGUGACACUUCCAUUCAAUGAUAUUUGUUAAAAUAAAGCUUUUCAUCACCAAUUUUGAUGGUUAAAUAAGGGACGUUGAACGGAGAUAACGAAUGGUUUAUAGAUGUGCCUGCCUGCCUGAGCUUGUUCUUCUGUUCUCAAGGUUUUGGCUGCCUGCUCCAUGAUAAAGUAUCUUAAUAAGAUCGAAGACCGUGAUAUUU